AGCGAACGCUGGCGGCAUGCCUAACACAUGCAAGUCGCACGGGGGGGCUUCGGCCUCCCAGUGGCGGACGGGUGAGGAACGCGUAGGGACCUGUCGAGGGGUGGGGGAUAACCGCGGGAAACUGCGGCUAAUACCGCAUGACGCCGCGGCGUGACAGCCGGGGCCAAAGGCGAAAGCCGCCCGCCGAGGGGCCUGCGUCCGAUUAGCUGGUUGGCGGGGUAGCGGCCCACCAAGGCGUCGAUCGGUAGCUGGUCUGGGAGGGUGAUCAGCCACACCGGGACUGAGACACGGCCCGGACUCCUACGGGAGGCAGCAGUGGGGAAUAUUGGACGAUGGGCGCAAGCCUGAUCCAGCAAUGCCGCGUGGGUGAAGAAGGUCUUCGGAUUGUAAAGCCCUUUCGGCGGGGACGAUGGUGACGGUACCCGCAGAAGAAGCCCCGGCUAACUUCGUG
This 451-nucleotide ribosomal RNA is filed under the name uncultured bacterium. RNAcentral describes it as "partial 16S ribosomal RNA". It matches the Rfam family "Bacterial small subunit ribosomal RNA", at positions 28 to 507 of the family's 1533-position model. The record is from RNAcentral.